CGUGUAGGCGGACUCGCAAGUCGGUUGUGAAAUCCCUGGGCCUAACCUAGGAACUGCAUCCGAAACUGCUUGUCUUGAGUAAUGGAGAGGGUGGCGGAAUUCCCGGUGUAGAGGUGAAAUUCGUAGAUAUCGGGAGGAACAUCAGUGGCGAAGGCGGCCACCUGGACAUUUACUGACGCUGAGACGCGAAAGCGUGGGGAGCAAACAGGAUUAGAUACCCUGGUAGUCC
This 229-nucleotide ribosomal RNA is filed under the name uncultured bacterium. RNAcentral's name for it is "partial 16S ribosomal RNA". It matches the Rfam family "Bacterial small subunit ribosomal RNA", at positions 568 to 796 of the family's 1533-position model. The record is from RNAcentral.